AUAUGGGCCUCGUGACUAUAUGGC
RNAcentral lists this non-coding RNA (24 nucleotides) under Arabidopsis thaliana (thale cress). Lineage: Eukaryota; Viridiplantae; Streptophyta; Magnoliopsida; Brassicales; Brassicaceae. The record is from RNAcentral.